GCCAGUACAUAAGGUUGCCAACCCUCUGAGGGGGAGCUAAUCCUAUAGAAGCUGGUCGUAGUCCAGAUCGCAGUCUGCAACUCGACUSCGUGAAGUCGGAAUCGCUAGUAAUCGCGAAUCAGCAUGUCGCGGUGAAUACGUUCCCGGGCCUUGUACACACCGCCCGUCACACCAUGGGAGUGGGCUGCACCAGAAGUAGGUUGCUUAACCCGUAAGGGAGAGGCGCUUACCACGGUGUGGUUCAUGACUGGGGUGAAGUCGUAACAAGGUAGCCGUAUCGGAAGGUGCGUGCUGGAUCACG
RNAcentral lists this ribosomal RNA (301 nucleotides) under uncultured beta proteobacterium. RNAcentral's name for it is "partial 16S ribosomal RNA". It matches the Rfam family "Bacterial small subunit ribosomal RNA", at positions 1233 to 1526 of the family's 1533-position model. The record is from RNAcentral. Lineage: Bacteria; Pseudomonadati; Pseudomonadota; Betaproteobacteria.